This 1071-nucleotide ribosomal RNA is filed under the name Triticum aestivum (bread wheat). RNAcentral's name for it is "partial small subunit ribosomal RNA". Lineage: Eukaryota; Viridiplantae; Streptophyta; Magnoliopsida; Poales; Poaceae. The record is from RNAcentral.
AUGGAGUCCAUGGCAAGUGUUGCUCUAAGCGUUGGGUCAACUACGGCAAUGGGAGAUGACGAUGAUGCCAACAGCUUCGCCGUGGGCACGAUCCGGCUAGUUGAAAAUGAUGGAAAUAGCUACCACACGCCAAAAUGUACUCGCAGUCUUCCGUUUUGUUGUGAUGAUAACCUAAAACCUGUUAUUGGCAUGCAAUUUGACACCUGGGGGGAUGGUAUGACAUUCUACAAAAUGUAUGCUCAUGAUGUCGGGUUCUCUGUUCGCACAUGGACAACACACAAAGAUGAACAUGGUGUAGCAGUGUGGAAGAGGUUUGUCUGUGCUAGGGAGGGUUGGAGGAAGGUGGCUCAGGAAGAGGGAAGGAUAAAGCCUAAACGAAAAUUCAAGUUAACCCGAUGUGGUUGUGAGGCUAUGAUUGGACUGAAGAGGCAGGAUGACGGCAAAUAUGUGGUAGCCCGGAUGUUCGAAUCACUGGGUAUCAUUUGCCGUCACAUAAUUGUUGUCCUCAAGAAUGAAGGGUUUAAUGAAAUUCCUAGUCAAUAUGUGUUGCAUAGGUGGACUAAAAUGGCUGCACGCCAGCUUUCCUAUGACGCCAACGGACAUGAGCUAGAAGGGCCAUCUACAUGCCUUUCACCUACCAUAAGGAAGUUGUACUCAGAAACAUGUUCAAAUUUCAGCUUGGCACUUCAUGCAGCGAAACAUUGUGAGGAGAAAAUGAGAUAUUUUCACAAGGCUGUUGGUGAUGCCUUCGCACAAUUGGGACAGAUGGGCCCAAUUAGUGAGCAAAGUAAAGUUCAAGAAUUUGAAUCCUUCGUUGGAACAUCAUUCCCAAGUGUGAUCAAUAUUCAUCCACCAGAUGUAGCGAACACAAAAGGGAGUGGGCGAAUAGCAUCCAAAAGGUCCCAGAUAAGUAGGAAUAGUUGUUGUUGGAUGGGUGUCAUGGAGCACUGGAGUGCUGAAUAUUCUGACAUUAUCCCUGCCUGCAUUUAUCUGGAUAAUUUAAUAGAAUGUGUAAUGUUGGAGAUGACCAACUCAGGAGCUGGUUUAAGUCAAGAUUUUAGUGGUAUAUAG